RNAcentral lists this ribosomal RNA (301 nucleotides) under uncultured bacterium. RNAcentral describes it as "partial 16S ribosomal RNA". It matches the Rfam family "Bacterial small subunit ribosomal RNA", at positions 509 to 807 of the family's 1533-position model. The record is from RNAcentral.
CAGCCGCCGCGGUAAGACAGAGGAUGCAAGCGUCAUCCGGAAUGAUUGGGCGUAAAGCGUCUGUAGGUGGCUUUUCAAGUCCACAGUCAAAUCCCAGGGCUCAACCCUGGACAGGCGGUGGAAACUACCAAGCUGGAGUACGGUAGGGGCAGAGGGAAUUUCCGGUGGAGCAGUGAAAUGCAUUGAGAUCAGAAAGAACACCAACGGCGAAAGCACUCUGCUGGGCCGACACUGACACUGAGAGACGAAAGCUAGGGGAGCAAAUGGAAUUAGAUACCCCAGUAGUCCCUGUCUCUUAUAC